GCCAGGUGACACCACACACCUACUGGAGUUCUCAACAGCUAGGUGACACCACACACCUACUGGAGUUCUCAACAGCUAGGUUUGGUUUGGU
RNAcentral lists this microRNA precursor (91 nucleotides) under Chlamydomonas reinhardtii. RNAcentral describes it as "miR1161a stem-loop (cre-MIR1161a, cre-MIR1161b)". The record is from miRBase by way of RNAcentral. Lineage: Eukaryota; Viridiplantae; Chlorophyta; Chlorophyceae; Chlamydomonadales; Chlamydomonadaceae.